CUGAGUGUUGCAGUAAUAUGAGACCACAAUUUGCCAUGCUACUGCUAAUCCUACCAGACCAGAACAUCCUUCCCUGCACAGCCAUCAGAGAGUACCGGCCUGAAAGUCACCUUCAAGCACACGAGGUGUUAACGUCCAAAGAAAGUAUAAGGUCAUGGAGAGCAGGACCGAGGGAUUGGAUCGGGAGCUGCUGAGGAAGUGCCGGCUGCUCUCUCCCCCGGGGCUGGCAGUCGGGCUGCUUUCCCUGCUUCCCGAACGCGGCAAGCUGCAAUGGUCACCAAGAACCUGCCACAGGAGGUUCCUCCUGGUGGGUGUCACUUGUGCGAGGGAAAGGGACGCUGCCCGGCUCCCCGCAGGGUCACUGUGACUGGCCCUGCUGCCUCAGGGACACCCUUGUGCCCGAGGCUGAAGCUCAGCGUUUCCCACCACGUUCCCAGCCGUUCCUCUUUCCCCAGCCCUCUGUGAAAUUUGCUGUGUAUAAAACAAGAACAGCAUUGAUAAAUCCUACCUUCUAAAAUAAAAUCAGUGGUGGUUCA
Molecule: long non-coding RNA, 536 nt
Organism: Vidua chalybeata
Lineage: Eukaryota; Metazoa; Chordata; Aves; Passeriformes; Viduidae
Exons: 2
Source: RefSeq, a predicted model, not a curated record